RNAcentral lists this transfer RNA (57 nucleotides) under Fukomys damarensis (Damara mole-rat). It matches the Rfam family "tRNA", at positions 8 to 63 of the family's 71-position model. Rfam says of the family: Transfer RNA (tRNA) molecules are approximately 80 nucleotides in length. Their secondary structure includes four short double-helical elements and three loops (D, anti-codon, and T loops). The record is from Rfam by way of RNAcentral. Lineage: Eukaryota; Metazoa; Chordata; Mammalia; Rodentia; Bathyergidae.
UAGCUCAGUGGUAGAGCACUUGCUUGGCAUGCAUGAGGCCCUGGGCUCAAUCCUCAG